This 23-nucleotide non-coding RNA is filed under the name Mus musculus (house mouse). The record is from RNAcentral. Lineage: Eukaryota; Metazoa; Chordata; Mammalia; Rodentia; Muridae. RNAcentral also lists the same sequence under 1 other name.
UGACAAAUUUGCUCCCUUGUUAC